This 316-nucleotide ribosomal RNA is filed under the name uncultured bacterium. RNAcentral describes it as "bacterial SSU rRNA". It matches the Rfam family "Bacterial small subunit ribosomal RNA", at positions 35 to 333 of the family's 1533-position model. The record is from RNAcentral.
GCUGGCGGCAUGCCUAACACAUGCAAGUCGAACGGAAACAGGACGCUAUGAUCUCUUCGGAGUGAAUUUGUCGCUGUCGUGUGGCGGACGGGUGAGUAAUGCAUAGGAAUUUGCCUUGAAGUGGGGGAUAGCCCGGAGAAAUCCGGAUUAAUACCGCAUAUGUUCUACGGAACAAAGUGGGCCUCUGAUUUAAGCUCAUGCUUUGAGAUAAGCCUAUGUCGGAUUAGCUUGUUGGUAGGGUAAAAGCCUACCAAGGCGACGAUCCGUAGCUGGUUUGAGAGGAUGAUCAGCCACACUGGGACUGAGACACGGCCCA